GAUGAACGCUGGCGGCGUGCCUAAUACAUGCAAGUCGAGCGAACGGACGAGAAGCUUGCUUCUCUGAUGUUAGCGGCGGACGGGUGAGUAACACGUGGAUAACCUACCUAUAAGACUGGGAUAACUUCGGGAAACCGGAGCUAAUACCGGAUAAUAUUUUGAACCGCAUGGUUCAAAAGUGAAAGACGGUCUUGCUGUCACUUAUAGAUGGAUCCGCGCUGCAUUAGCUAGUUGGUAAGGUAACGGCUUACCAAGGCAACGAUGCAUAGCCGACCUGGGAGGGGGGUGGGCGAGCUGAGAAGGGAACCAGGGACAGGGAACCGGCGGGGGGAACAAGAAGGAAAUCUUAGGCAGAGGGGGAAGAGAUAACAGAACGGCCGGAGGUGGUAAGCAGAGGUUUUGGGAGCGAAAAACUGUUUUAUGGGGAAAAAACAGAGUGUAAGUUAACUGUCAAGGCAGUGACGGUAACAAACAAAAAGGCACCGGCAAAGUCGGGG
This 497-nucleotide ribosomal RNA is filed under the name uncultured bacterium. Its description in RNAcentral is "partial 16S ribosomal RNA". It matches the Rfam family "Bacterial small subunit ribosomal RNA", at positions 28 to 507 of the family's 1533-position model. The record is from RNAcentral.